GUUCUUGAGUAGAUUCUAAUGCAUUUUGUUUAGGUGGUGUAGUUGGCAGAAGGUGAAAGAAGUUGAAAAAGCCAUUUAAUGUUGUAAACAAACAGUAACGAAUAAAUUCGGAAGUGGUUGGCACUGAUCACAUAUGAAUGUAAAGUAACAAUUGGCACUUCCGUAGGGUUAAGUAGGAAAGUUGAUCGCAAUUUCCUGUAAUUGCCUUGUAUUAGUGGUAGAAAAAACAUAUUGGUGUAAUGGUUAAUGGGGUGUAGUGUAGUUCAUCUUUCUAACCACCAGGAUUGAUUGAUAGAUAGAUCAUUUGUACAGUUUAGUUGGGGAUGGUGUUGUAUGUUGCAUAUUCUUGUUUGAUUUUGACACCC
RNAcentral lists this unclassified non-coding RNA (365 nucleotides) under Hevea brasiliensis (rubber tree). The record is from RNAcentral. Lineage: Eukaryota; Viridiplantae; Streptophyta; Magnoliopsida; Malpighiales; Euphorbiaceae.